GUCCCUCGUAAGUCAGAUUUAUCAUAUUGACAAAAGACCUAAGAUAUUUCUUCUUCUGUCAAUUUGUUAUAAGAUCCAUCUGCCUCUUCACAGGCCAAACAGGACACCAACAUGUCCAAGUUUCAGUCAAACAAUCAAUUCAACUCUUAAGAGCCA
Molecule: long non-coding RNA, 156 nt
Organism: Symphalangus syndactylus (siamang)
Lineage: Eukaryota; Metazoa; Chordata; Mammalia; Primates; Hylobatidae
Source: RefSeq, a predicted model, not a curated record